UGUUGUGUUUCCUCUUGUUCUUUAUCAAAGUCCCCUAAAUAAGUAGGAAUGGGCAGUGUCUGCACAGCCUCUGCACACCUUUUCCACUUACUAAUUAGGGCCUGCUUCACAGUAAGAGACUAUUCAGUGCCUGGCUCUGAAAAGGGAUGCCAAUGAAACUAAGCACAAGCAUGAAGCUCCUUGAAGUUGCCCUUCUCUUCCUAGCUGCAUUCAGCACCUACGUUACAAAUGGUAAGACUACAACAAAUACCAAA
Gavialis gangeticus (Gharial) is the source of this 254-nucleotide long non-coding RNA. RefSeq lists it as uncharacterized. The record is from RefSeq and is a predicted model, not a curated record. Lineage: Eukaryota; Metazoa; Chordata; Crocodylia; Gavialidae. The transcript has 3 exons.